AGGACGAACGCUGGCGGCGUGCUUAACACAUGCAAGUCACGGGGGUCCCGCAAGGGAUAACCGGCGAACGGGUGCGUAACACGUGAACAACCUGCCCUCGUGUGGGGGAUAGCCGGGCUAACGCCCGGGUAAUACCGCAUACGUUCUCUUUGGGGAGUCCCGAGGAGAGGAAAGCUCCGGCGCACGGGGGAGGGUUCGCGGCCUAUCAGCUAGUUGGCGGGUAAUGGCCCACAAGGCGACGACGGGUAGCUGGUCUGAGAGGAUGGCCAGCCACAUUGGGACUGAGACGACGGCCCAGACUCCGACGGGAGGCAGCAGGUGGGAAUCGUUAGCGACAAGUGGUACCUAAACGGCUGACGCGAGCGACGCCGCGGUGUGGGACGGUACCGUCCGUUUCGGGGUAGUAACCC
This 410-nucleotide ribosomal RNA is filed under the name uncultured soil bacterium. Its description in RNAcentral is "bacterial SSU rRNA". It matches the Rfam family "Bacterial small subunit ribosomal RNA", at positions 26 to 431 of the family's 1533-position model. The record is from RNAcentral.